UAUCCACACUGAUAGAUGGUAAUAACAGUAAGAAAUAAGAAGGUCAAUUACUCAUAUUCACACUGAUAGAUGGUAAUAACGGUAAGAAAUAAGAAGGUCAAUCAUAUUCACACUGAUAGAUGGUAAGGAAUAAGAAGGUCAAUUCGUAUUCACACUGAUAGAUGGUAAUAACGGUAAGAAAUAAGAAGGUCAAACACUCUUAUACGUACAUAGUUAUGACAAGUAUAAAUACCUGAAUGAACACAUGGUUGUUCAAGUAAUGAAAGAAUGUCAAUAGUUGUCAAAUAUUUUUUUAUCUUAUUCAAAUGUUAAAAAAUAGAAAAAAUCAUCAUCGGCAAAAAAAAUCACAUCAUCAUGAUGAUAUAUGCAAAAUUCUGAUGUAAACUCUGUUUAUUUUGUAAUCUUACCCAAAAGGCUUGAUAAUUAUUAUGAUGUUUUAUUAAAGUUAAUAUAGGUUUGGCUAAUU
This is a long non-coding RNA of Limulus polyphemus (Atlantic horseshoe crab), 466 nucleotides long. RefSeq lists it as uncharacterized. NCBI's taxonomy places the organism in Eukaryota, Metazoa, Arthropoda, Merostomata, Xiphosura, Limulidae. The transcript has 2 exons. The record is from RefSeq and is a predicted model, not a curated record.